This 285-nucleotide unclassified non-coding RNA is filed under the name plant metagenome. RNAcentral describes it as "partial contains small subunit ribosomal RNA, internal transcribed spacer 1, and 5.8S ribosomal RNA". The stretch from base 1 to 54 matches the Rfam family "Eukaryotic small subunit ribosomal RNA", at positions 1778 to 1831 of the family's 1831-position model. The record is from RNAcentral.
GCAAGUAAAAGUCGUAACAAGGUUUCCGUAGGUGAACCUGCGGAAGGAUCAUUAUUGUAUAACCGAGGUGCGAGGGCUGUCGCUGACCCGAAAGGUCGUGCACGCCCGAGUGCCCUCACACACAUCCAUCUCACCCCUAUGUGCACCACCGCGUGGGUCCCCCUUUGGCUUGUUCGGAGGGGGGCUUACGUUUUCACACAAACUUUGUAUGCAGUGUAGAAUGUAUUUUUUGUUUUUGCGAUCACGCAAUCAAUACAACUUUCAACAACGGAUCUCUUGGCUCUC